CCAUGCCUAAAGCCUCCUGGGAUCAUCACACAACCUGGGAUGCUUAAGGGCAUUCUCCACUUUUCCUCUGCAUGCACUGUGGCAGCUUGUCAGGGAGCCAGCUGCAAGAACCAGGAAGAAACAGCCAGCCUACUGAUGAUGUCAGAUGAGAAGAAAUGGUGUUGCAGCUUAAACCAGACAAUGCUGGAUUUGUUGGGCAAGUUUUAAAUAUAAACUUGAAGAAAAAAUGCUAGUUGCUUGGCUGUCUUGCCAGUCCAAUAUCCACCAUAUUUUUUGAGGCAGUGUCCUGCAACAAAUGUACAGCAAUCAGAUCCAGAGUGAAUCCAGAAGUCACAAUCUGUAUACUUGUUCCUGAUAAGUAGCUUAGACAUGGAUGAAACCAAAGGAUCAAAUAAAGGAAGUCAGCCAGCAAUGGCAGCCUACAUGUAUAUAUUUAAUAUCAGGGGUAAGGACAGUCAAAGAACAACAUAUGCACAAGUCGUUGUCAGUAUUAGAAUAACGAUUAGUAAUCCAUCACAACCCUGCAGACUAUUUUCUUCUAAUUCAAAAGACAGCCAUCUAGCAAAUUUCACAUGACUGGCAGGAGGUUCUCCAUUUAUUGCAAAGAAGUGCUUUUUGUAACAUGGUUCCAUAACAAUCACUAAAAGCAAUUUGUUGUGCCAGACUGUUGAUUAAACACUAAAUAAUACCCCCUGGGAAAAUCUGUCACUGUCUGUUACUUUAUUUACAGAAGUGCCUCAACAGACAGUGCCCUAAAUAAAUAAGGCGCUUGUGUAGUUGGUAUCUUUUUUUACAAACUAGUACAAAAUAAAAACUAUACUCCUUUUCAAAAAUCUAUUCAUGAUGUAUUUCCGAGUUGUUCAAGUAUUAUAUAAGCCGUACUUCGUCAACCAAGUUAUGUUGUUUGAAGCCAGCAGGAGGUGCAAAGUUCACAAGAAAAUAUCAUUUGACAAACAGCAAAACAAUUCUUCCUUUGUGAAGUUUUUGGCCCUUCCAACA
This is a long non-coding RNA of Rana temporaria (common frog), 999 nucleotides long. RefSeq lists it as uncharacterized. The record is from RefSeq and is a predicted model, not a curated record. The transcript has 3 exons. NCBI's taxonomy places the organism in Eukaryota, Metazoa, Chordata, Amphibia, Anura, Ranidae.